This is a non-coding RNA of Cyanoderma ruficeps (rufous-capped babbler), 273 nucleotides long. The record is from Ensembl. Lineage: Eukaryota; Metazoa; Chordata; Aves; Passeriformes; Timaliidae.
GGUCGAUGAUGACAAAGAAGUUUUCUGAGGGCACAGGGAAAGUCCACCCUAUUACCCCCUUGGCUCCCAGCAGUCCCAAUAUUCUAUCACGCCAUAGUAGAGCUGUGAUGGAGGAAGAGACUGCUGACAGUUUGGGAUUAAUUCAGUUCCAGUUCUCCACAGUAAAGGGAGUUGUGGCACCAAAUGUAAUCCAACAAAUCUGGUGAAGAGGAGCUCAUGGUGAUGGGGUGUCCUCAAUUGCUGUGCAUGAUCAAAGGUUUUCAAGCUGAGACC